This is a non-coding RNA of Cinara cedri, 295 nucleotides long. NCBI's taxonomy places the organism in Eukaryota, Metazoa, Arthropoda, Insecta, Hemiptera, Aphididae. The record is from the annotation of a GenBank genome assembly.
UUUGAAUUCCUAGCUUUGAAAUUCCUAGCUGACAAUGCGAUACCUAUGUAUUCAAAAUUUUACCCCUAGCUUCAUUGGAGGAUAAAAUACUGUAAAAAACAUUCAUCUCCUUCCGUAAAAAAAAAACGUUUUAAUCUAUAUUGAAAUCCAACCCUACUUUUUAUUUCUUCAACCCAGCUGUAAAAUAAUUCUAUAAUUUGUGGGUUAAGACUGGGUUUGGAUCGGACUGUCCAGUCAUGCACGAUCUAUCGUGGUAUACAACGAGCGGCAAAAUCAAUUAAUGGUCGUCAUAAUA